AUCGGUGACAGGUGGCGCAUGGUUGUCGUCAGCUCGUGUCGUGAGAUGUUGGGUUAAGUCCCGCAACGAGCGCAACCCCUAUUGUUAGUUGCCAUCAUUCAGUUGGGCACUCUAGCGAGACUGCCGGUAAUAAACCGGAGGAAGGUGGGGAUGACGUCAAAUCAUCAUGCCCCUUAUGACCUGGGCUACACACGUGCUACAAUGGUUGGUACAACGAGUUGCGAGUCGGUGACGGCGAGCUAAUCUCUUAAAGCCAAUCUCAGUUCGGAUUGUAGGCUGCAACUCGCCUACAUGAAGUCGGAAUCGCUAGUAAUCGCGGAUCAGCACGCCGCGGUCGAAUACGUUCCCGGGCCUU
Molecule: ribosomal RNA, 355 nt
Filed under: uncultured Streptococcus sp.
Lineage: Bacteria; Bacillati; Bacillota; Bacilli; Lactobacillales; Streptococcaceae
Description: bacterial SSU rRNA
Rfam family: Bacterial small subunit ribosomal RNA
Source: RNAcentral